AGAGUUUGAUCCUGGCUCAGGACGAACGCUGGCGGCGUGCCUAACACAUGCAAGUCGAACGGGGUCCAGGGGAGCUUGCUCCCUGAAGACCUAGUGGCGAACGGGUGAGUAACACGUGAGAAACCUGCCUCGGAGUGGGGAAUAACUCGGGGAAACUCGAGCUAAUACCGCAUACCCUCGGAUGGUCGCAUGGCCGACCGAGGAAAGAAUUUCGCUCUGAGAGGGUCUCGCGGCCUAUCAGCUAGUUAGUGGGGUAACGGCCUACCAAGGCAGCGACGGGUAGCUGGUUUGAGAGAACGAUCAGCCACACUGGGACUGAGACACGGCCCAGACUCCUACGGGAGGCAGCAGUGGGGAAUCUUGCGCAAUGGGCGAAAGCCUGACGCAGCAACGCCGCGUGCGGGAUGACGGCCUUCGUGGUUGUAAACCGCUUUCAGCAGGAACGAAAAUGACGGUACCUGCAGAAGAAGCUCCGGCUAACUACGUGCCAGCAGCCGCGGUAAUACGUAGGGGGCAAGCGUUGUCCGGAUUCAUUGGGCGUAAAGAGCUCGUAGGCGGUUCAGUAAGUCAGGUGUGAAAGCUCCGAGCUCAACUCGGAGAGGCCACUUGAUACUGCUGUGACUAGAAUCCAGUAGGGGAGCGUGGAAUUCCUGGUGUAGCGGUGAAAUGCGCAGAUAUCAGGAGGAACACCAGCGGCGAA
RNAcentral lists this ribosomal RNA (700 nucleotides) under uncultured bacterium. Its description in RNAcentral is "bacterial SSU rRNA". It matches the Rfam family "Bacterial small subunit ribosomal RNA", at positions 8 to 719 of the family's 1533-position model. The record is from RNAcentral.